AUAUGAUAUGUAGAGAUGUACCCAACUGCUGAUCAUUUGCAACCGAGAUAUCUUCAUCUUUCUAUGGCUCCCGAUCACAGUUUUAUAUUCACUAUAAAGGCGAGUUUGGAAGGGGAGGGAAAACAGGGAGGGAAAACCUCCUAUAAAUAACUAAUGGCUUGUUUGGAAGCAAGGGGAUUGAGGGGGCUAAGAGCAACUCCAAGAGCUUACCAAAAAUUUGUUUCUAAAAACAUCAUAUUGGGGGCUGCUGGAAAAAAAACUUCUAAAAAAACUAAACCUACAUCAUAAUGCUAAUAACUAGUCCCUAAAACAAGAAGAUGGUGUCCUGGCCAUGAACGGGGCGUGAGAUGGUGUGGCCGCUGGUCUGCGACUGUGCUGGGAGGCGAACAGUUGAUGGAGGCCGUCUAGCUCCUGCUUCGAGAAGGCCCUGCGAGGAAGCGUGUUAGUGGUGAGAGCAGAGCACCAGACAAGGCUUGUGUUUAGCAGCGAUGGAGGUGGCCACUGUUAGUGGGGUGGUACUCUAUGCCACGACGAAGCGGGAGCUUGGGGCAGACGCCAGCGAAGCCUGCGAGUUGCUCAUCACCACCAGUGGAGGUGGGGUCCCGGCUUGUCGUCGGCCAAUCUGCUGCGCCUCGUUCCUGCCGCUCAUCGACUAUGUUGUCUGGGGGUGGGAGAUGAGGUGCCUCUCACGGCAAAGGACUGGUAACCGUCAACUGGCGCCGCCUCCACCUGUCAACUCUGUUGCCUCUCGCGGAGCAAGGACGGAUUGGGGAAGACCUUCGCUCGCGCAUAUUUGAGUUGAGGGAGAGUGGAGCUAGGAUGCGGGACGCUGAUAAUUUGGGG
This 843-nucleotide long non-coding RNA is filed under the name Zea mays. RNAcentral's name for it is "long non-coding RNA (ZMAY_LNC001247)". The record is from RNAcentral. Lineage: Eukaryota; Viridiplantae; Streptophyta; Magnoliopsida; Poales; Poaceae.